CUCAUUGGCACUCAUACCAUGCACAUCUUCUUAUAUCUAUAUAAUUAUUCUUUCGAUAUUUUUGAUUGGGGUCUGGAGCUGGCAUGUCAGUUACUGCUAGUAGUUCUUUGUUAAUUUAUGAAUCAUAUUCGUUUUGUGUAGUUUCUUUUGUUUACUAUUUUGUCAUCGGACUCGGAUUUCUUUUAAACUGAGUUUCUCUGUGCGUAUUGUUGUGUGUUUGUUUAUUCUACAUGAGCUAGAUAUAAUUGUAUAGCGGGAGGGUUGAGAUCUAACAAAGCAUGUUUAGCCCCGCCGUAUUUUUGCGCCUGUCCCAAGACAGUAGACUCUGAUCUUUGUUAGUUUUUUUAUGUUUUUUUUUGUCUAAGUUAAGUGUGACGUCCAUUUUCACAUUACUAGUAUAUAUUUUUAUUUAGAGACCAGCUGAAGCCCGCCUCUGGUUGCGGAUUUUCUCGUUGUGUUGAAGACUCAUUGGUGGCCUUCGGCUGUGCUCUUUGGUUAGGCUGACUGUUGUUUCUUUGACACAUUUUUUAUUUCCAUUCUCAAUUUUAUUGAUUGAUCAAUUGAUUGAUUGAUUG
This 575-nucleotide long non-coding RNA is filed under the name Mytilus galloprovincialis (Mediterranean mussel). Lineage: Eukaryota; Metazoa; Mollusca; Bivalvia; Mytilida; Mytilidae. The record is from RNAcentral.